GAUGAAGAACGCAGUGAAAUGCGAUAAGUAAUGUGAAUUGCAGAAUUCAGUGAAUCAUCGAAUCUUUGAACGCACCUUGCACCCUUUGGCAUUCCGAAGGGUAUGCUCGUUUGAGUGUCAUUGUACUCUCACUCUCCCGAUCUUUGGAUCGGGAGUGGUGGACUUGGGUGUUGCUGCUUUACCGUGGCUCACCUCAAAUGGAUUCGUGCAACUCCUGGUUGGACAUAGUACGGCGUGAUAAGUGUCUUCGCCGGCACCUCACUAGAGGGUGGCUGACCGGGAGCUCUGUGCUUCAAACCGUCCUCGGACAACAACUGACAACUUGACCUCAAAUCGAGUAGGACUACCCGCUGAACUUAAGCAUAUCAAUAAGCGGAGGA
RNAcentral lists this unclassified non-coding RNA (380 nucleotides) under soil metagenome. RNAcentral describes it as "partial contains 5.8S ribosomal RNA, internal transcribed spacer 2, and large subunit ribosomal RNA". The stretch from base 1 to 120 matches the Rfam family "5.8S ribosomal RNA", at positions 35 to 154 of the family's 154-position model. The record is from RNAcentral.